CAAGAACAAGUUUGGUAAUAAGCACAGAUAUUUCACAUUCUUAAUACUUGAAUUAGCCACUGAAAUUCUAUUUAAAAUUACCUCUUUUUAUAGCAAAUAAUAUGAAACACAGCAGCUAUUUCUCCAUUCAAACAAGUUACAACUAGCCCAGUAUCAUUUAGGCAAAUAGUGGAAGCUCUCAAAAGAAAGAUGGCUGAAAUGUCAAAGAGGGUCAAAAGACAGCUCAACAAAAGAUCAGCAACUCAGAACUGGCUGUGGUUUACAGUUCAGCCCUGUUAGAAUGUGGAUUAUCUCUUUUGAACAGUUAAUGGAAUGGAAAUGGCAUAUAAGAUUUCUUUGCAUCAAUAAAAAGAAGCUCAACAAUGAGGUCUUGUAUGAAAAAUAGUGAGAAUGUGAUAAAAGAAAUACUUUGACAGAUCAGCUCAACAUCACGUACUACUGAAGAAGGAAGAUUUAAUGUACAUAAAGAGAUUUCGGGGAGUUCCUGUCUUGGCGCAACAGAAAUGAGUCUGACUAGGAACCAUGAGGUUGUGGGUUCCAUCCCUGGCCUCGCUCAGUGGGUUAAGAGGUGUUGCUGUGAGCUGUGGUGUAGGUCACAGAUGUGGCUCGGAUAUGGCGUUGCUGUAGCUCAGUGGGCUGGGGAUCUGGCAUUGCCGUGAGCUGUGGUGUGGGUUGCAGAUGCGGCUCGGAUCCCACGUUGCUGUGGCGGCUGCAGCUCCGAUUGGACCCCUAGCCUGGGAACCUCCAUAUGCCGUGGGAGCGGCCCUAGAAAAGACAAAAAAAACACAGUAUCUGUAGAGUACAAUAAAGUGAAGAGUAAUAAAAUAAGACAUAGUAGACACUAUUGAUUACACUAGAGAAAAAAAUGUAAACCAGGAUUCACCAGUGGCACAUCGGAUUAUUCUACUGAUAGGACAAGUAAGAAAAGGAUUGGGAAAUCACUCCUGAAUUUAACAGUAUGAAGUACAUUUGUGAUGUUAAUGAAAGCAGUUUUGAUGGGGAGAUAAGGUGUAACAUGUGACUAAAAUGGGUUUAAAAUAAAUAAAGAGAACUUGGAGACAACAAAAUUAGCCAACUCUUUAGAGAGGUCAUUGUGAUGUGGUGAUGUAAGAAUCAAACUGCAGCUAUUGGGGAGGUAGGGGAAAUAAAAUAUUUGUUGUUUAAGAUGGGAGAAUUCAUAGUAUGUUUGUAUGGUGGUAGAUGAUACAAUAGAGAAGGAAAAAUUGACAAUUAGAAGAGAGAGGAGAGAUGAGAGAAUUGCUAGAGCAAAGUCCCUGAGUAACUUGCGAAUGGUUGGGACAUAUUGGUAACAUGAGUUGGAAAUCUGAGGGGUUUUGUGAUGAAUGAUGUAAGUAAGAAUAAAGAGCAUUAAAACAUUUGGUGGUAAAUGACAAAUAUCCCCCAAAUAUCAGGCCGUAAUCCUUGGGAUCUGUAAAUAUUAUUACAUAUAGCAAAGGAUAUGAAUAAGUUAAGGAUUUGGGGAUGAGAGAUUAUCCUGGAUUAUCUAAGUGGAUCCUAAACAUAACUGCUUGGGUCGUUAUCAGAGAAAGACAAGAAAUUUCAUAUAGACACAUGGAGAAGGCUAUGUGAGAAUGAGGGCAGAAAUUGGAGUGAUGUGACCAUCUGCCAAGGGAUGCAGGUUGCCACGUCUUACUUAUGUAUGUGUCUCACUCCUGGCCUAGGGUGACUGAAAGGUCAGACUGACUGGGCAUCUUCCAUUCUUCAUGCUGCUUUCUUUCUUGCUGGCUUAGAUUUCCUCAUAGUAUGCCAGUUUAAUGAAAGUUGGGCUUUUUACAUAGAGCUUGGCUUUCCCCGGAGUGUGCAUUCCAAGAGGAGUUGGCAGAAGGCUUCUUAUGAUCCAAGAUUAGAAGUUUCAAAAAAAAAAAACAUUUAUGCAUCACAUUGGUCAGGCAACUAAGCUAGCCCAAGGCAAAUAGAAUUAGACCCCACCUCUCCGUGAAAGAAGUAGAAAAGGAUAUGUGGCAAUUUUUAAUCUACCACACAUACCAAAGAAAAGGAUGUGAGAUACACUUAUAUUUCAGAGGAGAAAUAUGAGAAAACAGAGAAUAAAUAACAGCAUUUCUGAAAUCAAUGAAGGAGUUUCCAGAAGUAAUUAGGUUUGUUAUUGGAAAGUUAAUCGAAUAUCUUAAAGUAAGUUUGUCUACCUGAACUGAGGGAGAAAGUACAGAAUUACAGCACUGAAGACAAUUGAUACACUUAGUUCUUUCUCCCUGAGAAUGUAAAAUUCUAUUUAUAUAUAGAUACUUGAGGAAUCAAUUUAUAUGAUUGAUUAAUUGUUAUAAGAUUCAAUAUUUGUAGCCAAUGCAAUAUCUAUAUCAUUUUCAUUUUAAUAAGUUAAACUUAUGUUAUCUUUUUAGUUGACUUAAGUGACCAUUUAGUUUGUCAAAUAAAGGACAACUCCGAAAUAUCUUUAGUGAAUUCAAUCAAGACUACCGCUCAUGGAGCCUUCUGGUAUGUGAAGUGUGUGUGUAUAGGAGGUGGUGAAAAAGUGGAUCAGAUUUGCAUAGGAACACAAUAGUUUUCUGAGUGAAAGGGAUUAAGAUCCCAAUUAUCUCUCAAUUAGCUUCAAAAUUAUUAAAAUCCAUCAGAUGGACUAGGAUCUUAGGAAAAAGCAGUGAGUACUUUGAAAUAAAAUUACUUAAAAGAAAAAAGAAAGGAUGAGUCUGGGCUGAUGAUCAGAUGAUCAGAGAUCUAGAUGAAAGGCUUCAAGACUAAAUGAAAGUAUGAUGUCUUUGACCUUCAAUGUAACUUGUGCUUGAAACUCCUCCACACAUCGGCCCAGCCACUGUGCAUGUCCUUAUCUGUGGAGGACCUUGGUUGGCUCUAGGCAUAUAAAUCAACAAACAAGCCUGAAAAUCCAACAACCUUGACCCCAAGAGAGUAGGAAUGUCUUUUUUUCAAAGACCCCAGACUGUGCAGGAACCUGGACAAGUGAGGCUCCACUACAGAGAGAACUGGGACUUCCAGGCAAGUAUCAUCAUCUACAGGACAGUGGAAAAGCAAUUCAGAGUCUUCUGAAGCCCAGAGACCUCUCUGAUGGGAGUAAAAGUCAGAAAAUCCUCCAUCUUUUGGAUUAGUUAAGCCCCAGGGCUCUAGAAAAUUGGGGAAUAUGGGGGAUUUAGAAUACAAAUAGUUUUUCAGCUUUGAAGUAUUUUAGUAUGUGAGAUUGAGGAUGCUCAGUUUUUGUUGCUGUUAUUUAAGUUCAGUUUAGUUUAAUUUAGUUCAUUAUCUCAUUUGCACGCAGUUUGUGAAUAGCCAAUUACAAAAGCAUAAACGAGGGAGGGAGAAAAGGAGAGUAACAGAGAAUCACAGAGACUGGGCAGACAGAUAAAAAGAGACAGAGACAAAGAAAGAAACUACAGAUAAUUUUUUUUCAAAAUUGUUAAGAAAAACAUUUUGCUCCAUAUUUAAACUUGAUCUAGACCAGUAUCAUUUGAAUUUUAUGUUUGAAAGAGAAAGUUAAAAUUUCAUAAUUUUCCUUUCUAUUUCUGG
This 3513-nucleotide long non-coding RNA is filed under the name Sus scrofa (pig). Its description in RNAcentral is "lncRNA (ENSSSCG00060027680.1)". The record is from RNAcentral. Lineage: Eukaryota; Metazoa; Chordata; Mammalia; Artiodactyla; Suidae.